This 20086-nucleotide long non-coding RNA is filed under the name Lynx pardinus (Iberian lynx). The stretch from base 1523 to 1595 matches the Rfam family "tRNA". Lineage: Eukaryota; Metazoa; Chordata; Mammalia; Carnivora; Felidae. The record is from RNAcentral.
CUUUUUUAAGGAGUUAAAGAUCUAAUUUUGCUGUGUGGCCGGAUUUUCUUACUACUUGCUCUUCUUACUUUAAUUAUUUCUGUGACUACCUCAUGGCUUAAUUCAUUUAAAUCUUCCCAAGUGUAUCUGAAAGGUAAGUUUAUUGUUUAUGCUACCCUUUUAUAAUUUUCUACUCUUUAGAGUAUUUUAUUUAUUUAUUUAUUCUAGGAUUUUGCAUAAUUAGAACCAUUUACUGUUAAUUUGUGACAUAUAAUUUCAGCUGAUCAUUACUUUAGUCUUGAUUUUUAAUGGACUAUAAAUCCCAACAUUUUUAUGGGAAAUUGUACAUUAUCCUUGUAUACACAUUUGAAAUGAUAGCAUUUCUAUAUUGAUACAUUGCAAAUUCUCUGAUUUUAAGUUGUGCAGUUUCAUUGUUCUUUGAGGUUUAUGUUUUCAGUUUAUAAACUAUUCAACAAAUGGUCAUGUUUUCUACCGUUAAUCUGUAGAGGCUUUUCAACCUAAUUUAUUUUUCCUUUCACUUUGGCAGUUUUUGUUUACAUACUUACCUAUAGAGUUAAGUGCUUACUCUUAAUUUUAGGAAACCAUGCUUGUUCUUAUUUUAUGUUUGAUAAGCAAAAAAUUUUACUGUAAUUUUGGUAAGUAAAAAUUUGUCAAAGCCUUUGACAAUGUUAAAAGUGUUAGAAGCCUUUUAAAACAAUAUUGUAGUUCACUUCAGAAAAGAUGAAUCCUAAAACUAAAGCCUAAAUUUUUACAUCCUUUUACAAAGAAGCUUGCCAAUAGUGAUUUUGGUACAUUGUGUUUCAUUUUGCUACUUAUUUAAAUGUAAAUAAAUGACAGGAAAAUAAGCAGUGCUUAAUUUAUAGCCUUUCCAAAUUAACCAUGAAUAUAACCAUAAUCCUAAAAGGUUAUACUGUUCAACCCAAACAUAAAAGGCAAUCUAGAUGUUUUAGGGUCUCUCAAUCAUAGAUUUUUGAAAUUCUUUUCUUCUUUUGGUAAUUAUUUGAUGUCUUAUACUUCAAAUUAUCCAUUGGAAAAUUAAAUAAGAGCAUUGUAACUUCUCUUGGAAAUUUCGUGUUAAGUGCAUUUAACAUCAGGAGGAUAUUUGCUGCAGGCAUUAAAUGGUCAAAUAUUCUAUAUUUUAUAAAUAAGGGAAACGUGUAUUUGACAUAGUUUUUGUAGUUUAAAUUGUACCUUUUUAUCAUUGGAGUGUACAUCAUUCUGGUACAUUUACGGAUUAAUGAUUUUGAGACAUAGUCAUCACUGAAGGCUAAAACUAUUUAAGAAGUAAUUAAGACUAUGUAAAGUGCUUAAUUAUUGUCAGAUUUCCUUUAAAUGAGUAAAAAAUCCGCAUAUUUAUACGCUUUGUAUCUUCCCUAGUGUCAUCAGAUAUUGAGAUACCAGACUUCAGAUUCAUCCAAAACUUUAAUCCUCCAUGUUUUGUAAAGAUUUGCAUGAUGAAGUGUAUCACAAGUUCAGAAGCAGUCAGUUCUCAGUGGCUUUAAGGAUUAAAGACCUUUGGGGAACCUAUUUGGCUCAGUCAGUAGAGCAUGUGACUCUUGAUCUCAGGGUCAUGAGUUCAAGUCCCAUGCUGGGUGUGGAGCCUACUUAAAAAGAAAAAAGGGAUUAAAGCCCCUUAAUCACCUGCUAUUGACUUAUUUAGAAACUAUAUUCUUUGAUUCAGAGUCAGAAGGGGAGUCUUAAGAUCACUAAGUCUAACUCAUCACAUAGCAAGUUAGUGGCCAGACUAGACCUUCUGCUUUCCUAUGUGCUUUGCUGCCCUAAUCUUUCCUUAAUAAACUUGAGGAUAUAUUUAUUGCCAGGAGAGAAAGUUGUUGACAGAAAGGAACACUCCUAUUUAAGGAGCCAGGCAGGUUAAAGGAUGUAUUUUCCAAAAAGAUGUCUAAUUCCUCAAGGGAAUACAGUUAAAUGAAAUUAAUUCAAAUGAAACUUAGUGUACCUAGAAUAAAAAAGGUUAUACAACAGCAAAUAUUCUUUCUCUUGCCAUUCAGUGGCUAAUAACCUAAUAUUGGUUCAGUCAUGGGAGUUUCCAAGCAAGGAAGCAAGGCAUGUUGCUUAUAUGUGUGUAUGAAUUUUUUUAAAGCUUUUUUUUUUUUUUUGAGAGAGAGAGAGUGGGGGAGACGUAGAGAGAGAGGGAGAGAAGGAAUCCCAAGUAGGCUCCACACCAUCAGUGCAAAGCCUGACUUGGGGCUCAAAUCCACGAACUGUGGGAUCACCUGAGCCGAAACCAAGAGUCAGAGGCUCAACCCACUGAGCCACCCAAGUGCCCCGUGUGUUUUUUUUUUUUUAAAGUAGGCUCCAUGCCCAAUAUGGGGCUUGAACUCAUGACCCUGGGAUGAAGUCAGAUGCUCUACCCACUGAGCCAGCCAGGUGCCCCUUUAUUUAUUUUUAAAAGACUUUAUUUUUAAGUAAUCUGUAUACCUAAUGUGGGGUUCAAACUCACAACCCCGAGAUCAAGAGUCACACAUGGGGCGCCUGGGUGGCUCAGUUGGUUUAGCAUCCAACUUCAGCUCAGGUCAUGAUCUCGCAGUUUGUGAGUUCGAGCCCCACAUCGGGCUCUGCUGAGAGCUCAGAGCCUGGAGCCUGCUUCAGAUUCUGUGUCCCCCUCUCUCUCUGCCCCUCCCCUGCUCACACUCUUGUCUCUCUUUCAUUCAAAAAUAACUAAACAUUUAAAAAAAAAAAAGAGUUGCACACUCCACUGACUGAGUUAACCAGGCGCCCAGGUAUGAUGCUUUUACUGUCAUGUCAAGGGUGACCAAAUGGCACACAUGCCUAUAGGGCAGCAUUCUCCACUUCAUGUGCAGAAAUGGGCUUUCAUGCCAUGUCUUGGAGCUGCUGAAGCCCUAGCAUGAAAAAUCCAAUAUAAUCAUUCUUGAAGCCUCCUCACCAAAACUAUGACAUAUGAUAUUAAUGAAUGUUAGAGAAUUUUUGUUUCAGAACAGACUGUUUCUUACAGAUUUUACUUGUGGAUUUCUGUGUUUGAACUGUCUGCAUGUACCUCAUUUUCAUCGUUUGAAAAACAGUCUGUUUUUUGAAGGCUUGUCUCUCCCAAAAUGUUAUCUACAGACUACUUUCAGAGAAAACAGCAUUCAACUUACAAUAUUUGGGAAUUAAAAAGCAUUUUUAUGUUUUGAUGUCUUAGAAGAAGAAGAGAAGAAUGAAAAAAGGCAAAAACUUGUCAGGAAAAAACAACAAGAGGCACAGGGUGAAAAGGUAAAGCAUAAUUUUUAGAGAGUAUAUAUAAAGAGAAUACAGAACAUCUUGGGGCAUUUAAAAUCGAGGUCUGUUGCUUUCUGCAUUUGUGCUUGGACUUUUUUUUUAAGUUUAUUUAUUUUGAAAGAGAGAGAGAACAUGCUCACAUGUGAGAGUGGGGGGCAGGGUGCAGAGAGAGAGGAGAGAGGUAAUCCCAAACAGGCUCUGUGUUCUCAGUGCAGAGCCUGACUGGGGGUCAAACUCACGAACUGUAAGAUCAUGACUUCAGCUGAAAUCAAGAAUCAGAUGCUUAACUGACUAAGCCACCCAGGUGCCCCAUGUGCUCAGAUUUUUUAAUUAUUGAGGUCAAAUUCACAUGACUUAAAAUUAACCAAUUAAAAAAAAUUAACCAAUUUAAAAUGUACAAUUCAGUGGCAUUUAGAACAUUUGCAGUAUUAUGCAAUCACUACCUCUCUCUAGUUCCAAAACAUUUUCUUUACCCCAAAACAAGACCCCGUACCUAUUAAAUAGUCACUUCUCCAUUCCCACUCCUGUCCUUUGGCAACUAGGUCUGCUUUCUGUUUAUAUGGAUUUAUGUAUUCUGGAUAUUUCAUUUGAGUGGAAUCACAUAAUAUGUGACCUUUUGUGUUUGCCUUCUUUCACUUAGAAUAAUGUUUUCUGGGGUUCAUCCAUAUACAUGUAUCAGUACCUCAUUCCUUUUUUGCAGGUAAAUAAUAUUUCAUUGUAUGGAUGUAUCAAAACUUGUUUAUCAGGGGCGCCUGGGUGGCUCAGUCGGUUAAGCGGCCGACUUCGGCUCAGGUCGUGAUCUCGCGGUCCGUGAGUUCGAGCCCCGCGUUGGGCUCUGUGCUGACAGCUCAGAGCCUGGAGCCUGUUUCCGAUUCUGUGUCUCCCUCUCUCUGACCCUCCCCCGUUCAUGCUCUGUCUCUCUCUGUCUCAAAAAUAAAUAAACAUUAAAAAAAAAAUUAAAAGAAAAAAACUUGUUUAUCAGUUCAUUUGCUGAUGCACAUUUAGGUUGUCUCCACCUUUGGGCUGUUGUGAAUAGUGCUGCUAUGAAUAUUUGGACACAUUUCUUUGAGUACCUGUUUUCAGUUCUUUUGGGCAUAUAUAUAUAUAGGAGUGGAAUUGCUGGGUCAUCUGGUAAUUCUGUGUUUACCUUUUUGAGGAACCACCAAACUGUUCUCUACACCAGCUAUUCCAUUUUAUAUUCUCACCAAUUUCUGAGGGUCCCAAUUUCUCCAUUUCCUCACGGACAUAUAUUUUCCCACCCCCACCUCCUUUUAAAUAUUCAUUGUAGUGGCGCCUGGGUGGCUCAGUUGGUUAGGUGUCUGACUCUUGAUUUUGGCUCAGAUCUUGAGGUUCGUGAGUUCAAGCCCUGUGUCCCUGCCUGGGAUUUUCUCUCUCUGCCUCUUUCUCUGCCCCUCCCAUGUACUCUCUCUCUCAAAACAAUAAAUUCUCAUUGUGAUGAGCAUGAAGUGGUAUCACAUUGUGGUUUUGAUUUGCAUUUCCCUAAUGACUAAUAAUGUUGAAUGUCUUUUCAUAUGCUUGCUGGAGAAUGUCUAUUCUUAUGUCUUCUCUGCAGAAAUGUCUGUUCAAGUUCUUUGCCCAUUUUUGGGUUGUGUUGUCUUUUUUUUUUUUUUAAUGAGAGUUCUUUAUGUAUUCUGGAUACUAGACUCUUAUCAGAUACAUAAUUUCCAAGUAUUUUCUCCAAUUGUGUGGGUUCUCUUCAUUAUUUUGAUAUUGUCCAUUGAUGCACAAAAGUUUUGAUGAAAUCCAGUUAUUUCUUUUGUUGCUCAUGCUUUUGGUGUCCAUUGCCAAAUCCAUUGUCCCUCUAAGAAUCCAUUGCCAAAUUGAAAGCCAUGAUGAUUUACCCCUAUAUAUUUUCUUUCAAGAGUUGUAUAGUUGUAAAAAGAAAAAAAAAGAGUUGUAUAGUUGUAGCUUUUAUAUUUAGGUUACUAAUCCACUUUGAGUAUAUAGUGUGUAUAUAUUUUUGUAUAUAGUGUGAGGUGGGGAUUCAGUUUCUUUUUUAAUAUUGUUUUGGCUAUUUGGGGCUCUUUACACUUUCAAAUAAAUUUGAGUUGGCUUUUCCAUUUCUGUAAAAAAGGCCUUUGUGAUUUUUGAGAAGGAUUACAUCAAAAUCCAUAGAUUGCUUUGGGGAGUUUUGACAUUUUAUAUUAAGUCUUCCUUGCUUUGCUUCGUGUUGACAUCUUAAUGAUAUUAAAACUUUCAACCAUAAGCCUGUAAUGUCUUUCCACUUAUUUAUAUCUUUAAUUUCUUCCAACAAUAUUUUAUAGGUUUCAGUGUACAUAGUUACCCUUUUGGCUAAAUUUAUUUCUACGUAUUUUAUUUUGGAUGCUGUUUUAAAUGUAAUCGUGGUUUUAAUUUCCUUUUUUGACUUUUCAUUGCUAGUGUAUAGAAAUUAUACAAAUUAUACAAAUUAUAGAAAUACAAAUGGUUUUUCUGUGUUGAUCUUGUACCCUGCACUUUGUUUAUUAUUUAUUAGCUCUAGUGAUUGCUGUGCAUGGAUUCUUUGGAUUUUCUAUUAAGGCAAACCUUAUUUUAUUGUACUUCAUUUUAUUGUGCUUUGCAGAUACAGGUUUUUUUUUGUUUGUUUGUUUGUUUUUUUACAUAUUGAAUGUCUAUGGCAACCCUACAUUGAGCAAGUCUAUUGGUGCCAUUUUUUUCUAACAGCAUUUGCUCACUUCGUGUCUCUGUGUUAUAUUUUGGUAAUUGUCGCAAUAUUUCAAAUGUUUUAUUAUUAUAUUUUUUAUGGUAAUCUGUGAUCAGUGAUUGCAACUCAAUGAAAGUUCAGAUAAUGGUUAGCAUUUUUUAACAAGAAAGUAUUUUUUAAUUAAGUCGUGUACUUUUUUGUAGACCUAAUGCUAUUGCACACUUAGUAGACUACAGUAUAGUAUAAACAUAACUUUUUUUAAGUUUAUUUAUUUUGAGAGAGAAAGCACAAGUGGGGGAGGAGCAGAGACAAGGAAAGAGAGAGAAACAGCAGGGGAGGGGCAGAGAGAGAGGGGAAGAGAGAGAAUCCCAAGCAGGCUCUACACUGUCAGCACAGAGCCUGAUUUGGGGCUCGAACCCACAAACCAUGAGAUCAUGACCUGAGCCGAAACCAAGAGUUGGACACUUAACUGACUGAGCCACCCAGGCAUCCCUAAACAUAACUUUUAUAUGCACUGGGAAACCAGAAAAUUAAUUUGACUUGCUUUAUUGUGAUAUUUACUUUAUUGCAAACUGACCUUCAAUAUCUCUAAUAUAUGCCUAUAUAAGAUCAUGUCAUCUGACAAUAGGGAUAGUUUUACUUCCUCCUUUCCAAAAUGGUGUUUGUUUAUUUUUCUUGCCUAUUGCUCUAGCUAAAACUUCUAAAUGGUGUUGAAUAGUAGUGGUGAAAGCCAGUAUCCUUGUGUUGUUCCUGGUCUUAGAAAGCUUUUAGUCUUUCACCACUGAAUGUGAUGUUAGCUACGGGUUUUUUCUAGCUACUCGUUAUGUUGAGCAAGUUCCUUCCUAUUCCUAGUUUCUGAGUAUUUUUAUCAUAAAGAGUGUGGAGUUUUGUCAAAUGUUUUUUCCUUAUCAAUUGAGAUGAUCAUGUAUUUUUUCCCCUUUGUUUAUUGAUAUGUAUUACACUGAUUGAUUUUCUUAUGUUGAAACGUCUUGCAUUCUUGGGAUGAAUCACACAUAGCCGGUAUAUAAUCCUUUCAGUAUGUUUUUGGAUUCAGUUUGCUAGAAUUUCGUUGAGGAUUUUUGCAUCUACAUAAGAGAUACUGGUUUGUACUAGUCUUGUAGUGUCUUUGCCUGGCUUUGGUAUCAGGAUGAUGUUGACCUCAUGUAAUUAAUUAGGAACUGUUCUUACUUUUAUUUUUUGGAGUGUCAACAAGACAGUGUUAACUCUUCUUUAAAGGUUUGAUAGAAGAGCACCUGGGUAGCCCGGUUGGUUGAGCAUCCCACUUCUGCUCAGGCUAUGAUCUUGAAGUUCGUGGGUUCGGGCCUUGAGUGAGCUGACAGCUCAGAGCCUGGCACCUGCUUCAGAUUCUGUGUCUCUCCCUCUCUCUGCCCCUCCUCCACUUGUGUACACACACAUGCGCACGUUCUCUCUCUCUCAAAAAUAGAUAAACAUUAAAAAAUGUUUAAAGAUUUGAUAGAAUUCACCUGUGAAUCUACUUUUCUUUACUGGGAGGCUUUUAAUUACUGAUUCAAUAUCUUGUUAGGUAUGUUGAGAUUUCCUAAUUCUUGAGUCAGUUUAGGCAAUUUGUAUGUUUCUAGGAGUUUGUCAACUUCAUCUUGGUUUUCUGAAUUGUUGGUUUACAGUUGUUCACAAUAUUCUUUUUCUGGCGUGCCUGGGUGGCUCACUUGGUUGAGCGUCCAACUCUUGGCUUCAGCUCAGGUCAUGAUUUUGAAGUUUGUGAGUUCAAGCCCCACGUUGGUCUCUGCGCUGACAGUGCAAGCCUGCUUGGGAUUCUGUCUCCCUCUCUAUCUGCCCCUCCCUCCCAAAAAGUAAAUAAAUAAACUUAUAAAAAUAAAAACAAAAAAACCCCACCAGAAUCUCCAUUUCUUUUAAGCCCAAAAAUAUUUUCUACUUUACUAUGAUUAAGCUGUUCAUUAACACUUUUCCAAGUGACUUCUUGCUUUGGGCAUUGUGCCUUGAACAAAUGGCUUUGACUUUAAGCUCCUAGAAGCCAAGCAUCACAUCCUAUGCAUCUUUGUAUCCCUAGCUCGUAGUAAGUUUUUGUUGGAUUGAGAACACAUUAGAAUAUCUAGAGGCCAACUGCCAAAUAAGCAUAAGCAUAGAACAUUUGUUUUUAUCUGCUUUAGGUAUAUAUGCAGAUUUUUAGAGAGUGAUGUAAAAGGAGGAUGCUGCUUUUUUGACAAAAUUUAGUGUGACAGAAAACACAAUUUGUUAACCUGUUUCUUAUUUCCAACUCUAUAGACCAUGGAAGAUCUUUGGAAUGUUAUGGUAAUAACACCUCAUUUAUUAUUUUUUUUAAUAGGUCAGCAGAUACAUAGAGAAUGUUCUAAAACCUCACCAGGAGAUGAAAUUGAGAAAACUGGAAGAGCGCUUUUAUCAGAUGACGGGUGAAACUUGGAAAUUAAGCAAUGGUCAUAAACUUGGGGUUAGAAAAUAGUCUCACUUUAUAUUUUGAAUUCUGCUACUACAUACAUACAUGCAAUAUAUGUAUAUGACAUAUAAUGUAUAAGUACAUAUAAUGUACAAGCAUAUUACAUAUUUGGGUUUUUAAAAUUUCGAAUGAUGUUAAACUGGUCUGGUUUUUAGGAAUCUUUAUUGCUAAUGAUUGUACAUAGAGCAUAUUUGUGUGUUGAAGGCUUAAGUGCUUUUGGUGCCCAAAGAGCAUAUAACCUAGAUGUUUGAGAAGCUCUAACAUAAAGUUGUCUUUGAGAAAACUGUUGACCAAUCACCAUAUUUUAUAUGAGGAAAUUCAGAUCUUUCCUUAAGAUCUCCAAGGUAUGACAAGCUCACAUUAUACUCAUUAUGUUUCGCUCUGUUUCUAUAAAGCCAAAUUAACCUUUGACUCUUUUUUCCUUUGGCAUUGAGUAUGAACUUUUGUCAUUUGCUAAUGGUAGUUUUCAGCUCAAAGUUUUUUUACAGAGGAAAAACGAUAUUCAUAAAGGAAUUAAGUUUUAGGGGUGGCUGCCUGGCUCAGUUGGUAGACCAUGCAACUCUUAAUCUCAGGGCCACAAGUUCAAGCUCCCCCAUGUUGGACCUGGAGCCUACCUAAAAAAAAAAAAAAAUUAAGUUUGAGAGUAACUAGUCAGAGAUUUUAUGUGUAAGAUCAUUUCUGUCCCAAAGACUUUUUGGGUUUUUUUGCUUUCUAUUUAUAUUGCAUCUUUUACUAUCCUAUAAAUAAAAUGAUCCAGUAAAGGUUAACAGGAUUCUUACUGUGAAGCUAGACUCCGUUGUUAUCCAUUUCAUAAUGGUAAAUAUGCAUCAAGGGUGGGUAAUGAAAUUAAUGCGAAAGAUGUGCAGCAUGAAAUGUGCCUGCUCUGUGGAGUGAUGUCACUUCGGAGAUGAGUUUGUCUUCUGUUCAGAAGCCUGACUUUAGCUGGCCACACCUUUUUCUCAAAUGGUCACAAAGUGAAUUAGUCAUUCUGCCCCUUGCUUUCAGGCUAUGUCUUCAUGACACUAGUAGCAUAUAUUUUAACCUAAUUAGUGGGGACAACAAGAAGUCAGGGACCAAGCAGACCACUGGCAUUGUUAUGACUUAAGGCUCUUAGGACUAUCAAGAAUGUGAGAAUCAGGGGGCACCUGGGUGGUUCAGUCAGUUAGGCCGACUUCGGCUCAAGUCAUGAUCUCACAGUUUGUGAGUUUGAGCCCCGCAUCUGGCUCUCUGGGCCUUUGUUCCCCUCUCUCUGCCCCUUCCCCACUGGUUUUCUCUCUAUCUCUCUCAAUAAUAAAUAAACUUAAAAAAAAAAUGUGAGAAUCAGAAUGUUAAUUGCUGAGAGAAAGCGUAGGCGGCAGCUGAUGGAGCCUGGUACUUUGCAGUCAGCCUGUUUGGCCAGUUAACUAUUGAGCAUCUAGAUCUCUUGGCUCCCAUUGCCCCUCCCCUUCCACCAGGUUUUCUUAGGAUAAAGGAAUAAAACAGCCCACCAAAAUGGUGGCCAUUUUAGUCUGAUAAAGAGAACUUUUACAAGUCAGUGGAUGUAGAAAAGGGUAUUUUUGAACUAGUAAGUAUGUAUCUGAGAAUUUGACAUUUAAGUUAAUUAUCUUGCUGAGGAAAAAGUUUUAAUGGAUAAUAUUAAUAAAAAGUAAUAUGGUUUCUGGAAUAAAUUCCUUUGCUUUCUAAAGUGAUUAAUUCAAAAGGAAGAUCAGAGUUUGAAUCUGAGAACUAAAAUAUAUGUAACAGGAUACUUCGGCCAUGUUCAACUAUGGAAGUAUUUCAUGGUUACAUACACAGACAUGUUUUUACAUACCUAUUCUCUUUUCACAGCUUUUUAAAGCAUAAUCCCUUGCACUGUCUUGCAUCCUUUAAUGAAAGGAGAAAAGGAUAUCAUUCAGGUUUUCUUAUUUCUUCCACCCUACUAAAAACUGUGGGGAUCAAUUAAAAUGGAAAGAUGCCUCUCAGCCUUGUGUCUAUCAGAGGGAGCCCUAGGGCUGGGUAAGAGUAGUUUCUACAGGAUGUUAAGCUCUAUGUUUUCUUCUCCAAGGAAAUAAUGCUUUAAAUUUCUGGACCUAAUAUUGACUAAGUUCUUUUUUUUUUUUUUUUUUUUUUAAGUAGACUCCACACCCAACGAGAGGCUUGAACUCACGACUCUGAGAUUAAGAGUUGCAUGCUCUGCCAAUAGAACCAGCCAGUAUUUUUUACUAAAUUUUUUUUAAUUAAAAAAAAUUAUUUUUAUGUUUUUAUUUUAUUUUUGAGAGAGAGUGACAGAGUGUGAGUUGGGGAGGGGCAGAGAGAGGGAGACACAGAAUCCAAAACAGGCUCCAGGCUCUGAGCUGUCAGCGCAGAGCCUGACAUGGGGCUCGAACUCACAGACUGCGAGAUUGUGACCUGAGCCUAAGGGACACCCAACCGACUGAGCCACCCAGGCACCCCUGAGUUGAGUUUUGUUUUGUUUUGUUUUUUUUAACUGAAAUGUCAUUUUUUACUGAAAUGCCGUCAGGGUAAAAGAAAGAGCCACUGUGAAUUGAAUGAAGUUUAUACUAGAGACUAUUUAGAAAUUGUCUGUUGUUUUUGACCAGGGUGAUGAAGAGUUGGUGCUUGAAAAUGGGAGUCAGACAUCUUUUGAAACAUCAAACAGCAGAGAAGCAGCAAAGAGACGGAACUUGCCUAAGCCUCUAACCAAAAUUUCACCAUCUGCUGAACAGCCCACGCAGAAGGAGGUUCAUUACUGAAUGCCUACUCAUGUAAUUGUAUCAGUGUGCAGUAGGAAUAUGGUUCUCUGGGCGAGGUGGUAUACUGAGUGAAGAUUAGGACUGGCUUUUAAUCCAGAUGGUGUCUUCCCACUACCUUAUAAAGGGAUCAGCUUCAUUAAAAACCACUUUGCUAUUUGAUACUAAUAUUAAUGUUCUGAACCACACUUAGAAGGAAGCUAUGAAGAUAAAUGACAGAUUUACAAAAUACUCCGUUCUUUUGAGGAAGUAAUUUUAUUAUGUAGAAAUGAAAAAUGUUUACUAAGGGAAAUAUUCCUACAGGUAACUAAGACAUGAUUAACCCAUAUUUAGUGAGAGGCUAAUAUUAUUAUUUUUUUAUUAAAAAAAUUUUUUUUAAGAUUUUAUUUUUAAGCAAUCUCUGCACCCAGCAUGGGGCUUUAACCCAUAACCCCUAGAUCAAGAGUUGCAUGCUCUACCAAUUGAGCCACCCAAGCCCCCGAGUGGCUAAUAUUAUUAACGUGGGUAAUAUUUUUCUCAGUAGCCCUUCCAGGGAAUGGGUUAGCAACCAUUCAUUUUGGAACAGUGCUGAGGUUCAUUAUUACUUCUGUUCUUUCAAAUUUUUAAUCCUUAAGUUGACCCUCAUUUGGAUCUGGCAAAGGUUGGAAAUAAAUCUCUUUGCCCUGACUCUUAAGGGAUGCUGGGAGGCCAUAUGUUCCCUGAACAUAGUUUCUAAUAUGUUGCCUCUUGGUCUGAGGUUUCUUAGCCCCAUAAUGGGGCCUGAGGGUGGCAGUCAAGUCAUUGAACUAUUUCUAGCAUUUCAAAAAGAUCUUAUGGACGUAUUAAAACUUCAGGAGUCUUAGCUUUUUGUUAAUAACAUGAAUCGUCUCAUGUUGUUGGUUAAUUUUGGUUGACUGUCAGGCUUUUGAUACCAAAGGAAAGUAAAUGGUUUAUUUGAUAAAAUGCAGUUAAUGUUGGCUAGAUACAAUGCUAGAAAACUGAGUCUGUGGUAUUAAAAAACAAAAAGCGUCCCUGAAGGUGAAAUUGUUGGUAACCCUGUUGAACGAGAGAAAAUGGUCUGAACACCUGGUUUUGUAAUAAACAGAAAUAAGGAAACAUCAGUAAAUCAUGAAGACAACCAAAGUGAAUGUUUCUUAUCCAGUCCCCUAGAAGUGCCAGUGAAGAAAGAUACACGUUUAAAAUGUGUAUACGUAUGAACCUAAAUAACUUUGGGGUCUGUUGAACUUAAUAUUUAUCCUCUGUGUCUUUAAAUAGUGUAUUUUUAUGUAGUGGCUUGGAAUAUCAUAAAAAUGAGAUUUUUAAAUAUGCAUAGAUUGGUAGCUAUCAUCCCACAUCCUGUUAUUAUCAUGUAUUUAGCACAGAAUGGCUUACCAAAAAUGUUUAAUUGAGCCCUUUCAUAUGGUACAUUUUUAUAAAUGUAUAUUAAAAGAUUUCAUUGGGGUGCCUGGGUGGCAGAGUCUGUUAAGCGUCAGACUCUUGUCUCAGCUCAGGUCAUGAUCUCACAGUUUGAGUUCAAUCCCCACAUAGGGCUCUGUGCUUAUGGUGUAGAGCCUGCUUGGGAUUCUGUCUCUCUUCCUCUGCCCUUGCCCCGCCUGUGUGUGUGCUCGCUCACUCUCCGUCUCUCUCAAAAUAAAUAAAUAAUUAAAGAAAAUUUUAAAAAUAAAUAAAAGAUUCCAUUAGGCUUAGAUGUGUCUAAACUCUAUAUUAAAAGGAACUCUUCUCACUGAGAUUUUUUUUUUUUUCUUCAAAAUGUUUACACUCUUCUUAGUAAUACUUAAUUUUCUUUAGGUUCUUGAUCUACCUGAAGAACCUCCUGAAACAGCUGACGAAGUAAGCUCAUUUUUUUCUUUGGAAAUUAAAUAUAUUUUGUUUUCUUUAACAUCAAGUGAGUAUGUCUUAUCUCAGUUUGGGUUUAGAAAAAGAAGAGAGUACGCAUGUUUAUGUGAUAGCCCUGUAAUUAGGUCUGUUUUGAACGUGGUGUAAUAGCAAACCUCUCAGCCUGUGUCCAGUUUUGGAGGCUGCCAUCCACCGAGUGGGUCUUUAGAGCCCCCCCACCCCAUCAGGCAGAGAUAUGAUACAUGGGCUUUUCCAAAACUUUAGGUCAGCAAAGGAGUUACUUGUUUUUUUCUAGAUUUUUUGUUUGUUUAUUUAUUUUGAGAGAGACGGAGAGCAAGCAGGAGAGGGACAGAGAGAGAUGGAGUCAGAGGUUCUGAAGAGGACUCUGUACUGACCACACCGAGCCUGACGUGGGGCUCAAACCCACGAACUGUGAGAUCAUGACCUGAGCCAAAUGCAGACACUUAACUGACUGAGCCACCCAGGAGCCCAGGGGUUACUUUUUACUAAAAAAUCAGGGACGCCUGGGUGGCUCAGUCAGUUNNNAGGGACCAACUCUUGAUUUUGACUCUAGUCACAAUCCCAGGGUUGGAUUGUGGGACUGAGCCCCUUGCAGGUUCCCUGAUGAGCCUGGAGCCUGCUUGAGAUUCUCUUUCUCCCUCUACCUCUCCCCUGCUUCUGCGCGAGCACACUCUCUCUCAAAGAUAGGCAGAUGACUUCAAGUUGUAGUUUUCCCCUUAACAAAGAGAAAAUGAAGCAUGCAGCUGCUGUGUAGAUGUUUGAAUUGAAGGAUGGUUUGCUGUUUUGGGGGGCAGGGUUCAAUUGAACUUCCACACUGCACUGAGCUUCCAUCUGCCCAGCUGCUGUGCCGCAUUCUGUGUUGCCUUCCUGUGGUUGCCCAGCAGAAUUUCAGACAGGUCUCUAAUGUACUGGGAGCAUGUGUCUUUAAAGCCAUGAAGUCCUUUAGGCAAAGGAAAGCCCUGAUGGUUUUCUAUUUCUUAGAGCUUGGCAACUAUUAUACUCCUUGAAAACCAGUCGUGAGUCUGCCACUGGGAGGGUCUUAAUUUUAUCAACACGCUUGCAACAUUUCAAUGGAAUACUUUGGCUGUCUGAGGAAAAUCCAGAAGUCAUGCAAAAAUAGAGAAAAUGAAACAUGCAAUCCAGAUACUGAUCCUGGAGGAGAAACACAAUUAAAAAAAAAAAAAGAGAGAGAGAGAAAAAAAACUUCUCAUUUCUUUCUGUUAUACCCAAAAAAUUCAUGUCUGUGAUAUGUCUGUCCUGACACACACCCUUCUACAUUCUCACACCCAUUUAUAAUACAAACGUAAUUAGAUAUAGCUCAGGUUUGACUGGGAGCACCUUUUUUACUCUGGUUUUAAAACACAUGACACUAGGGGUGUCUGGGUGGCUCAGUCAGUUGAAUGUCUGACUUCGGCUCAGGUCAUGAUCUUACAGUUCGUGAGUUGAACGAGCCCCACGUUGGGCUCUGUGCUGACAGCUCAGAGCCUGGAGCCUGUUUUGGAUUCUGUGUCUCUUGCUCUCUGCCCCUCCCCCACUCAUGCUCUGCCUCUCAAAAAUAAACCAAUGUUAAAAAAAAAAAAGUGUCAACUUUCCAAACAAACUCCCAUCUUCUUUCUUUUUUUUUUUAUUUUUUUAUUUUUUUUAUUUAUUUAUUUUUUUUAAUUUUUUUUUUUUCAACGUUUAUUUAUUUUUGGGACAGAGAGAGACAGAGCAUGAACGGGGGAGGGGCAGAGAGAGAGGGAGACACAGAAUCGGAAACAGGCUCCAGGCUCUGAGCCAUCAGCCCAGAGCCUGACGCGGGGCUCGAACUCACGGACCGCGAGAUCGUGACCUGGCUGAAGUCAGACGCUUAACCGACUGCGCCACCCAGGCGCCCCCCAUCUUCUUUCUGUCUGCAGCUAUUUUCAUUAUUGUAAACUACCUUUCAUUUUAAGGAGUCCCUGGGAAUUAAAUUUUGUUUAUUGCUGCUACUUUUUCUUUUUAAGAUUUUUUUUUUUUUUUAAAGUAAUCUCUACACCCAACUUGGGGCUUGAACUCACCACUCGGAGAUUAAGAUUCACACACUCCACUGACUGAGCCAGCCAGGUGCCCCUGCUGCCACUUUUAAUUUAGCUUUCAUUUAACAAUCUGUGUUUGGCAUUGUGAUUUACUUUCCAAUUUGGAUUGUGUCCCAUGUCUUUUACCCAUUCAUAUGUCAAUCCUCUAUGCUGUCAGUAAUAUUAGGAGAAACAGCACAACCAAUUUUCAUAGUAAUUGUAAUAACAAAACAGUUGCUAGAUUUUCAAACAAUGAUAGUUAAUUUCUCUUGAGUAUCUAAACAUAAUGGAAAAUAUUAACAUAUAUAUUAUAUAUAUAUAAUUUUUAUUUUGAGAGAGAGGGACAGAGAGGAAAAAGAGAAUCCCAAGCAAGCACUGUCAAACUGGAGCCUGCUUUGUGGCUGUGAGACCCUGACCUGAACUAAAAAAGUUAGAUGCUUAAAAAGAAACAAAAAAAAAAGUUAGAUGCUUAACCUACUGAACCAGCCAGGUGCCCCUUUAAUUCAGUAUAUUUGAAACCCUAGUUUCUCAUAAAGAAUUUGGCUUUAAUUCUGCUUUCAGAUCAUUAGCCUUUGAACAAAACCUCACUGCAAAAGUUAAAUUUUGUCAUUUCUAAAAAUAAGCAAAAUUGACUUUAAAUCUGUGAUUCAGCUGUUUUGUGAUUUUUUUCUGUGUUAUUAUAAAACUAUUCAUUAGUAGAAGUACAACAGAGCUCAGCAUUGCACUGAUUUGGAUAUGAAUCAAAUACCUUAUCUACUUGAAUGGAAAUAUUUUCUAACAUGGCUUUCCUGAAGGGGGUAGGUGCUGCUGUAAAACCGCCAUUUCUAUAUCUUAUGAUGCCUACAUAACUCCGAGGACAGUUAUGAUAAUGUUAGCCAUAAGAAAGGGUUUCCUGGAGCACCUGGGGUGGCUCAGUCGGUUAAGCAUCCGACUUUGGCUUGGGUUAUGAUCUCGCAGUUCGUGAGUUUGGGCCCUGCAUCAGGCUCUCUGUUGUCAGCUUGGAGCCAGUUUCAGAUCAUCUGUCCUCCUCUCUCUGCACCUUCCCCCACAUCUCUCCCAAAAUAAACAUUAACAUAGUAAUAAUAAUAAUAAUAAUAAUAAUAAUAAUAAUAAAUUUUAAAAAAGGAAGGGUUUCCUGACUGAUAAAUAAUGCCCAUCAGAAUAAAUUAUUAAUUCUUCAUCCUUUUUUUUUUAAUGUCUUAUAAUAUUAACUGGUAGUUUGCAAGGCCUUUUAGCUAUUUUACUGUUUUAUCAAAGGGGAACUGACGGGGAAACAAUACGUAAAGCAGAUGGAGCAGGAGCUCCUCCAGGAGAGGAGGUCUCUUAGAGUUUCCAGCAUCCAGGACCAACUCCACGCCUGUCUGUCACUUGCUUGGAGGACACAGGCAUGGCGCACAGCUUAUGAUGAUAGAGUAACUUGGGACACUUGUUUCCUUGCAACCCGGUGUUUUUCUUGUCUGUAGACUCUAAGGUGGACUGGAUCUUCUUGGUUUGGUAGAUGAAUUUUGAAGCCCCUGUGCAACCUUGAUAUUAUCUGGACAGACAGAUGCAUCUAGUCUCUGGUGUCCUUGCCAGAAGGCUGUGUCAUUGAUCUCAAUCAAGAGGAAGAUGUUCUCUUCCAUUUCAGAAGACAUUUUUAUGUUUCAGUUGAAUUUUAUCUGGACCUUCACGUUAAUCUGCUCUCAGAGCUAAAUGCCUAUAAAACCCCAUACAGGUUUUUAGAAUUACGGAUGUUUCAUAGGAGUAGUAUUUUGGAAUUGCAGAGCACGCUGGAUUGGAAUUCUUAUUUGAACAUUUUUAUUCCUCAGGUAGUUGCUGUUGCUCUCCGAUGUCCAAGUGGGAGGGUCCUGAAAAGAAGGUUUUUUAAGUCUUGCAGUUCACAGGUGAGGAAAUUCAUAUUUCGAGAAAUGUUUUUGUUGAAUUUGACAAUAGUUUUCUCCCAUGCAACCACUCCCUUGUCUGGUGCUCCCUUCAGGUAAGGGUAAAGGGCAUUUACACAUACUCUGUGUUGUGGAAAUUUGGAUAAUUAAGCAUGCUGGAUCUUUUUUCAGUUUUUUUUUUUUUCCCAGUUCUUUUCCUAUUUUUUAUUUGUUGUUUUUUAAUUAAUUACAUUUUCACAGCUUGGUAGAUAAUGUGCUUUCAUAUCCUUCAGAAGCAGACAGUAUUAACUUUGUUCCCAUUAUCCCUGAUAGAUUAUUAACUUAAGCCCUAUUGCUUAGAUGUAAUUUUCAGAUCAUUCUUUAGGGCUUAUUUCCUUUUGUUCCAAUGGAUUUUUUUUUCUCUUAAAAACAAUGCUGUGUUCAUUAGCAAUAAUUUGGAAAACAUAGAAGAGUAGAGAGGAAAAAAGGCUUGAUCUAUAGUCUAAUGCCAAGGUCAGUUGCUAAUAUUUUGGUGUAUUUCUACUUUUAAGUGCAUUUAAACAUAUAAUUAUGCACUGUAUUGAAAUAUAUCUAGUUUUCUAUCCUGAUUGCAUUUAACCUUCUGCGAUGAGCAUGCUAUGAACCAUAAUGGAAAAUACUGAUGGAUUCAACUGCAUAGAAAUGUAACAUUCUAUAAAGAAAAAAUUGUAAAGUUAAAGAAAUAUUUGGAGAAAAUAUUUUACAUCUAUGUAUGAUAGAGUCAUUUCUUUCUUGUUUUUAAAAAUUUUUUAACAUUCAUUUUUGAGAGAGAGAGAGAGAGAGUGUGUGUGUGUGUAUGUAGGGGAGGGGCAGAGAGAGACGGAGACACAGAAUCUGAAGCAGGUUCCAGGCUCCACGCUGUCAGGACAGGGCCUGACGUGGGGCUCGAAUCCAUGAACCAUGAGAUCAUGACCCGAGCCAAAGUUGGACGCUCAACUGACUAAGCCACCCAGGUACCCCUAGAGUAAUUUCUUUAUCAAGAGCUAAUAUACAAAUCAAGUAAAAGGUAAACACCUCAGUAGGAUGGCAGUUGGAAAAAAAAAAACACUUAGGAUUUCCUAAAGAAAAAUAAAAGUGACAAAUAAAAAUAGGGAAAAAAUAUUUGGCCUUACUUAGAAUCAAAGAAGUGUAAAUUAAAAUGGGACAUAAUUUUCUGCCUAUCAGAUUGUCAAAGAUUAAAAAGAAGAGUAACGUAGGCACCUGGGUGUCUCAGUUGGUUAAGGGGGCAACUCUUGAUCUCACGCCUCUUGAGUUUGAGCCCCACAUCAGUCUCUGUGCUGACAGCAUGGAGCCCACUUUGGAUCCUGUCUCCUUCUCUCUGCCUCUCUCCCACUUGCACUUUCCCAAAAAGUAAAUAAAUGUUAAAAAAAGAAAAAGAGUAAGCCAGUUGUGGCUAGUGUGUGGAGAAAAUGGUGAUUCUCAUUAACUGUUCCUAUGACUAUAAAUUUAUAAAUUGGGACACUGUUCCUAUGAGAUAAUUUACCCGUGUAACCUUUAAAAUAGAUCUUUUGUUUCAUUAAUUUCAUUUAUGAGAAUUUAUUCUAUAGAAAUAAGAUAAAUGAUCAAAGGUAUAAUGUGGGAAUUGGUUGAAUUAAGGUCUAUCCAAAUAUUGGAAAAUUAGGAAGCUUUAUGACUUAGAUGUACAUUUGUUACAUGGCAUAUCAGUAGGUUCUUGGAUGGUGGUUAGCAGGAGAAGUCAGAGAUUAUCUGUAGUUGAUAGUCCAGCUUCCUUCGAGAACAUUGUAGUAUCUAGGUUUCUUCCUAAAGCAGCACACUGUCCUUUGGCAGACAUUUUUAGGCAAUAGUAAGUGGACAUUUUGAUGGUUACUAUGGAAAUCCUCAUAACAGGAAAUGUUUUCAAUUUAUAGGGGUGGCCCAUUGACAAUUGGACUAUCCUAAGGCAGAGUCCCUAGGGCUUGGAUAGGUCUAUGGUGACAAAGUUCCUGAGUGAUUUUGAUGUGGACUAUUGGCUUAGGUUUUGAUCUAAAUAAUUUUUUUCCCAAGUGCUAAACUUUUGUUCUCAACUUUUCUUUUUUUUUUUUAAUUUUUUUUUUUCAACGUUUAUUUAUUUUUGGGACAGAGAGAGACAGAGCAUGAACGGGGGAGGGGCAGAGAGAGAGGGAGACACAGAAUCGGAAACAGGCUCCAGGCUCUGAGCCAUCAGCCCAGAGCCUGACGCGGGGCUCGAACUCCCAGACCGCGAGAUCGUGACCUGGCUGAAGUCGGACGCUUAACCGACUGCGCCACCCAGGCGCCCCUGUUCUCAACUUUUCUAUGUUGAAUAACCACCCCAUUCCUUGUGGUUGGGACUUUCCUAGUUGUUAAAUGCCUCUGCUCUCUAUAGAUGCCUAUAGUCCCUAGGCCUUCUCUGAAACUUCCAAAAGGUACUAAGGGUUAUUUGCAUCUCACAAUUCAUGGUAUGCUAUUUUCCUUUAAAUUCUAGAAGGUUUUGUUUUAUUACUCCUCAGGGCAUGAUUUAACAAUGAAGGAAUUGUAAAAUAUCAUGGUAAUCUAGAGGGAUACAACCGUGCACAGUAUUUGAUAACUAAACUUUUUGUCUUUUAGGUCUUAUUUCACUGGAUGAUGAAAAUCGGGUACCACAUAUCUCUAUACAGCCUUUCUACUUCCUUUCCCAGAAGGCCUCUGGAAGUAGAGGAAGGCUGGUCCCUGCAGGACAUUGGAAUAACUAUGGAUACUGUACUCAAUGUGGAAGAAAAAGACCAGAGCAACUAAUUAAGAAAUGAGAAUGACCUGUUUUACAUAAAAUCAGUUAUGCCAUGAUCUUACAGGACAUAAAGGUUUCACGUUAAAAUCAUGCCAUACCUUGAUUGAGCUCAAGGCAAUAAACACUUUAAUGUUGAUAUCCUCGGGAAUGUAUGGACACGAAGGAUUAGAAAAGGAUUGCUCUCUGCAUAUAAUAGUUUUUGGAAUGUGCCGUCAUAAUGUACCAUCUGAAAACUAGAUAAAAAUGUGUACAGUAAGGCACUCCAUGAUUUGUAUUUUUCCUAGCUGACAUCAUUUAUCACUGUGUUGAAAAACAAAAUCAUAUGACUUUGUUUCCUGCCUCUUCAGUCCACCUUGCCAUACUGAACAUUUCACAAUUCAGUCAAACUCUUUAAAAUCUAUUAGAUAGAAAUGUUUGUUCUGCUUUAUUUCUAGAAAUGAAACUUUAAAGACAUUUCAAAGGUCUCUAAUGCUUUACAGUUCUUUUUGAU